CACCUCUUUCUCCUUAUGCUUCUUUCCUUUUUUCUUCUUCUUCUCUUCUUUCUCUUCAUCUUCUUCUACCACCUCUUUAUCCUCGUGUUUUCCUUCUUUCUUCAUCUCCACCUCCUUGUCUUUUUUCUUUUUUUUCUCUGUGUUCUCAUCAUCUUCUUCAUCUUUGUGCAUCUUCUCCUUCUUCUCCUUUUUCUCUUUCCUUUUCUCCUCUUUAUUCUUCAUUUCUCCAAUUUCACUAUCCUUGUGUUUUUCCUUAUCCUUCUCUUUAUGUUUCUCCCCCUUAUCCUCCUCCACUGAUUUGGUCUCCAAUUCAAGUUCGACCUCAGCCUUCCCUUCCUUCUCAUGGUUUGGCUCCAUAUCCUUUACCUUCGCUUUGAAAUGCAGUUUUUCCUUCUUCACCUUUUUUCCUCCGCUAACAAUUGAUUCAAAUGUACCUUGCAACUCAGAACCCUUUGCCACAAAUUGAAACUCGAAUGUAAGUCUUCCCUGAUUUUUCAGCAAAUUCCCUAAAAAAGAUGCCAGAUAUAAAUAAGCACGGACAAAAUACAACCAAACAUGAACAGACUAUAAGAUUCAUUAAAAGACACAACAUGAUGGUUGGUAUAUUACAACUACUGGCAUUACAUAUAAAAGCAAGUUUAGCACAAAACUUCUGAUAAUAGAAGCAUGAUGUUCAAAAUUUCAAACAUAAAAGUGAUCCGGCUUUUAUGCAAGGAUGAAUUUGUGCCCUUCAAGUAACUUGAUUCCGUAUACUUCCACUACAAUCAUAUGCUAAUAGAAGGAAUAAACAGAAAGAGAAAAAUAAACCACAACGAAACCCAAAAAAAGUUGUACUAAUUUGAUUCAACGGAAUGAGAAAACUGACAUUUCAAGCAAAUAUAAUAGCAGGAAAAACAGUGGUAGCAUAAAAGGUUUCAAUGAUAAAUCAACACAAGUUUUUCCGUACCCUUGGCAUUUUCUUACUCCCUAUACCUACUUUACUUCCAAGAAGAAGGUUAAUAUAGACUGGUGAAAUACGCAUGCGUAUAAGAAAUCGAUUUAGAUAUCAAAAACAUUUGCCAAACCUGGUGCGACAUUGUAACCUUGCACAAUUAACACACUAUACUACUGCAGGGAGCAGAAACUCCACUGCUACCAGAUUCAGACACUCUCCAAUCAUCAUUACAACCCCUACAACCUAGAGGACAAGCCAUUACAACCAGUUGCCGCUACCCUCAAGAUCGACCGAGUCACAAUGGAGUUGACCUUUGUAAUCCUUACUCAAGCAUGUUAUCGUAAAUUCCAUGUUUAAAACAACAGACACAGAUAUUCACCCACAUGAUACACUAAACAGUCCAGAUCUUAAUCACUAUAUUCAUCAACAUGAAGGUAUUUAAAGAAAAACACAAGUUAUUGAAAUCUAUAUUUAUCAUUUAUCUGUAAGAAUCCAAAUGAUCUAAAAUAGAACAGUUGUUGUCCUAGAACAAGCUUAACUAAUGCUAUCCCACCCAGUAAAUUACCUUUGACAGAUAAGCGUUCCAUUGUUGACACUUUUGCCUCCCAAGAAAUUCCCAAUUUCCUUAUUCUCAGUGAUAUAACUCGAAUUAUUGUAAGAAGGAAGAAAUUAAGAAGUUGCAGCUAGACCAAUACAAAGGAACAGUUUUAUGAAGAUGAUUUAAAGGGAAUGAAAGAGAAGCACAUGCUUCCUGAAAUAUAUUGAUCAUCUUCCUUAAAUCUAAACUAUAAUUAUGCUAUUAGCCAAAAGAACAAUAGAACUUGUUAUUCGUUCUUGGAGGAGCAUCUACAGAUCACUUCACAAACCAAGAAAAAAACCCAGAUUCAAUUUCGGAUCAAUAAAAAUGGAACCUUUAUACUAACAAGCAGUCAGAAAAAGAAAUGGGUGGAAUAGAUAAACAAGAAAGAUGUUGAAACAUCCAAAAACCAAAUCCAGAGAGGUAUGUACCUUGAAUGGCUAAGAGGGGCAGAUGCAAAAUAGUUUUCUUUUUGUUGUUUAAGGACAGAAACAGAAGUGGGUGGAGUUAUGUAGGAAGUGGGAAAGGUUCACAUACUCAAUUUAUAGCAGGCAGUUGGGUAUAGAUUGUUCCACCCGCCAAGGAUCCAAAGCAUAGCUGGCACACGCAAUGGACACAAAGACUUAAGCCUUAAGUUGCAGAUAGAAAGAGGGGUCAAGUCAGUUGAAGGGAUGACAUGACAAAAUAAAAAAAUAUAAAAUAAACAAAAAUGGAGUUAUAAGCCUCAAGAGAUUCCAGAUCUUCAUAAAUAUAAAAAUAAAAGAGAUUAUACAUUUUUUAUAAAUACUAGAAUGACCAAAUGAGCACCCAGCUUACGCGGGGUUCUACCUUCUUAUAUAUAUAUAUAUAUAUAUAUAUAUUAUAAUUUUAAUUAAUUAAUAGCAAAUAGUUUUAAUUAAAUUUUUAUUUUUAAAAUUUAAUCGUAUGAUUAUUAAUAUCUAUGAUAUUUUAUUAAUUAUAAAUUUAAAAUAAUGAUUUAAAAUUGGAUACCAGUUUUAUACUGACUUAUGAAUUAUUCUAUAGAUCAAUUAUAGAAUAAUAUAAAAAGAAAUUCUGUGCGAAUUGGCCAUGCUGGAUAUGUAAAUCAUUCAAUUCAAAUUUAAAAUGAGCAUAAUUGUAUUUUUAAUUUGUCAAUAAUAUGCGAGUCAAACAUAAAAACCAAUUUUUUAUAUGAAUAGUUUAACAUUAAAAUGUAAAUUUAAAUAUUUUUUUAAACAUAAAUUUUAUUAUAAAUUCUUAUUAUAUUUUUUAUAAAAUGUUUAAAAUUGUUCAUAGUCCCUCUCCAACUUUUAAAUGAAAAAAUAAUAUGUUUUAGUGCACUCGAACUUACGUAUUAUUGUGCUGAUAACAAUGCAAAUACUAAUUAAACUAUAACUUAAUCAAUAUUAUUCAAAUAUUUUUAAAUAGGUAAUUGACCAAACUUUUUAAAAAUAUAUAAGUAAUUAAAUUGAAUAGAUAAAAAAAACUUAAAAUGUAACAUGAAAAUUAAAAUAAAUAUCGAUACUUAAAAUAUAUAUGAUACCAAUUAUUAACUUAAAAAUAAUACAAAAUUAUUCUUUUUUAUCAUUUCUUCAUUUCCUCCACAUUUUCUUUAUUUUUCUUUUUUAUUAGCCCCUUCUCUCAUUCUACGGUGUUUUCGUGUGUUUACUUUUUAUUAGUAGUUAUAGAUUUGGAUGAGGUUAAAAUAUGUUAUAAGCAUUUUUAUUUUUUUAUAAAUUUGAAAUUUAGCUCUUGUAGUUUUAUUUUUUGGAAUUUAGUUCUUUUAUUUUGCUGGUUUCAUAAUUUAGAUCCAAUUGUUAAAAUUGUUAAAAUUAUUUUAUUAAAUCUAAGCUUAUUACAAUGCCAUUCUUUUAGUUACAUAACUACCAACUGAGUAUUUUUUUUAUUUUAAAAUGUCACACCAAAAUUCACAAAAAAAAAACUAACAAGGUUAAUAAUUAGACCUAAAUUUUGAAAUUUAAAAAAAAUAAAAAGACUAAAUUUAUAGAAAUAAAAUUAUAGAGACUAAAUUCUAAAUUUGUGAAAAGUACUAGAUUUAUGGCAUAUUUUAACUUGAUUAUUAGAUUCUGUGGAGUUUAUUAUUAACUCCUAAAAUUUCGUAGGUGGUUAAAAAAAGUAUAAUUUUAAAUGUAGUCCUCGACUUUUUUUUUGUCAAUUUAGCUUUUAUUAAUUUUUUUAACUAAAUUUAGCCAUUUGUGUUUCAAAAAGUGUCAAAUAGCUUAUUUUUAACAAAAUGUCUACUAAAACAUUUAUUUUUUUUAACAAUGUUGGCAUGGCAACUAACAUGGGAAUCGUGUGUAGUUCAUGCUAACAUGGUACAAUUUAUCUUAUAUGUCAUGUCAACAAAUAAUUUAAAAUUUAUGAUAAAUUUAAAAAAUAAAAAUUAGCAUAAAGCACAUGUGAAUUGUCAUACGAGCUAUCAUGUUAAAAAAAUUUAUGUUUUAUUGUAUUUGAUGUUUUAUAUUUUUUAAUUUGCUUUAUAUAAAAAUAAUAUAUAUAAAAAUUAAUACGGACAGGCCGAGCCAAGCUCAGAUUUAGUAUUUUUUAUCCAAGUCGAGCUUAGGCAAAAUUUUAGACCUUUUUUUUGAGUCAAGCUAGGCCAAUUUUAUAAAAUUUUACAUAUCGCCCGACCCAUUAUUAGGUCUAGGCACGACUUGCCCAAAUAGCUUAUUUUAUAGUUUAAAAAAUAGCAAAAAUAUUUCUAUUUACAUUUAAUUAUUAAAAUAUAUCAUAUUAAUUUUUUUUACAUUUUUACUAUUCCGUUAAAAUAUGGUACUUAUUUUUAAAAAGAUUAAUAUAAUAUUUGGUACCUAAGCUUCUUUUGCCCACUUUGAUAUUACAACUUGAUGUUUUUUUCUUAAUCUAGUAUAUAAAAUUUCUUUUUGGUCCAAUUUAAUACCUAAACUUGUUAAAUGUUAUAGUAAUUAACCAAAACACUAACUGUGUUAGUUUUUUUAUAAGGGGACAUAAAUAGCUAACGUAUAGCUAACAUGUGACAAAUAACAUGAAAUUUAAUAGUAUGAAUGAAUACAUUUAUUUGGACUUUUCUCUGUUUCGCUAAACAAUAUACUAAAAAUUUAUGUUUUAUUGGGAUUGAGCUUACUUUGACUAUCAAUGGUGGGAAUGAUUUAAGAGGGACCGCAUGCUUAAAGCAUGGCCUCGUCUUCACAAAGCCCUCAAUUUCACAAAAAUAUCAUUAGUAUCACAAAAAAUUGGUGUUAAAAAAUUAUGUUUUGAGCUAUACUUAAUGGAUUGAUAUUGAAGAAGAAAACAAGACUUUUAGAAACCCAAAAUAAAAUAAAUUCAUUCUGUUAAUUUAAAAAAUUAAACUAAAAAUUAUUAAACAUUUAAAAUAAAAAAAUCCAUGUCAUCUACCGCGUGGUCAUACAUUGAUUAUUUUUGCUACCUCAUAAAAAAUAAUAUUAUUAAUAUAUCGGAGUAAUUAGUCUAAUACUUAACAAAUUUAGGUACCAAAUUAGACAAUAAAAAAUUUAGGUACUAAAUUUAAAAAAUAUAUCAAAUUUAAAUACCAAAUCAUACAAAAAGAAAUUAAGUACCAAAUAAGAAAAAAAAAACCCUUAAUUCAGAUAUCAAAUACCAGGUUAAGCAGAUGAACAUGUAAGUACUAAAUUAUGAAUGAUUUGUUAUUACUAUGAGAUAAUUUUUGUUAUUGAGAGAAAAUCAAGACUUAAUUUGUAUUUGAUUGGUUUUAGUUAUGUUAAGCAUUGUUAGUUGUAAAUGAAUUUUUUUUUCUUUUUCAUAUCAUAAAUUAGGAAGUUUGGUUCAAAUAGUUUAGAGUUUAAUAGGGAAAACAAGCUUCAUGAUCAAAUUACAUAACCUUAAAUCAUUAAUAAAAAUAUUUAUUAAGUUUCAACUGAAAAUAGUGUAUCAACCCCCAUAGUUUGCUUUUCCCUUAAGUUUCUUCUUCCUCAUCUUUCUUCUUCUUCUUCUCUUUUACCUCUUCUAUUUCUUCAUCAUCCUUUGCCUCCUUGUCUUUCUUUUUCGUUCUCUCUUCCUCUUCACCUUUCAACUUCUUUUCUUUCUUUUUCUCCUUAACCUCCUUGUCUUUCUUCUUUUUCUUCUCAUCUUCUUCUAUACCAUGCUUCUUUUCUUUAUUUUUCUCUUUCUCUUCCUUGUCUUUCUUCUUCUUUUUCUUCUCAUCUUUCUCUUCGUCUUCUUCUAUGGUCCCUUCUUUCUUCAUCUCCGUUUCCUUAUCUUUUUUCUUUUUCUUCUCAUUGUUCACACCAGCUUCAUCAUCUUUGUGAAUCGUCUCCUCCUUAACUUUUUUCUCUGAUGUAUUCUUCAUCUCUCCAACUUCAUUAUCCUCGUCUUCUUCUCUAUAUUUCUCUUUCUUCUUCUUUUCUUUCUCCUUCUUCGAUUUGUCCUUAUCCUUCUCUUUAUGUUUCUCUCCCUUUUCCUCCUUAUGCAUUAGCUUUUCCUUCUCCAUUGAUUUGGUCUUUAGCUUCUCUUCCUUCUCAUGGCUUGGCUCCAUAUCCUUUGCCUUUGACUAUGAAAUACACUUCUUUCUUCUCUUCCUGUGUUUUAUUUUUUAUUACAAAUUCCCUGAAAGAAAUGCUGCAUGUAAAUAAGCAAGUAAACUUAACUGUGUAAGGAAUGGUUGAUACAUUACAACAUGUAAGAAUAUUCAAAAUAUCUGAAACAAGAAAAACAGUUUCCCAAUGCAACCCCAGCACUAAAUUACCUUUGACAGAUACACAAGACAAUCAAGAUCUUCUUCAACAGACAGUAUUCAUCAACAUGGAUGAUUAUCUCUACAUUAUUUCACAAGCCAAGAAAAGAAACCCAGAUUCAUUUUCCCCAGUUAAACGAUCAAAACAACUGAUCAGUAAAAAU
Molecule: long non-coding RNA, 6365 nt
Filed under: Gossypium barbadense (sea-island cotton)
Lineage: Eukaryota; Viridiplantae; Streptophyta; Magnoliopsida; Malvales; Malvaceae
Description: long non-coding RNA (GBAR_LNC021028)
Source: RNAcentral